This 465-nucleotide ribosomal RNA is filed under the name uncultured bacterium. RNAcentral's name for it is "partial 16S ribosomal RNA". It matches the Rfam family "Bacterial small subunit ribosomal RNA", at positions 28 to 507 of the family's 1533-position model. The record is from RNAcentral.
GACGAACGCUGGCGGCGUGCUUAACACAUGCAAGUCGAACGGAAAGGCCCUGCUUGCAGGGUACUCGAGUGGCGAACGGGUGAGUAACACGUGGGUGAUCUGCCCUGCACUUCGGGAUAAGCCUGGGAAACUGGGUCUAAUACCGGAUAGGAGCCAUUUUUAGUGUGAUGGUUGGAAAGUUUUUUCGGUGUAGGAUGAGCGCGCGGCCUAUCAGCUUGUUGGUGGGGUAAUGGCCUACCAAGGCGGAGACGGGUAGCCGGCCUGAGAGGGUGGACGGCCAAAUUGGGACUGAGAUACGGCCCAGACUCCUACGGGGGGCAGGAGGGGGGAAUAAUGCACAAUGGGGGCAAGCCUGAUGCAGCGACGGCGGGUGGGGGAUGAAGGCCCUCGGGUUGUAAACUCCUUUCGCGAGGGAAGAAGCUGUUUGUGACGGUACCUAGAUAAGAAGCACCGGCUAACUACGUG